RNAcentral lists this non-coding RNA (187 nucleotides) under Geitlerinema sp. PCC 7407. RNAcentral's name for it is "6S / SsrS RNA". It matches the Rfam family "6S / SsrS RNA". From Rfam's summary of the family: E. coli 6S RNA was the first non coding RNA to be sequenced, but its function was unknown until recently. It consists of 184 nucleotides that fold into an extended hairpin structure with a large single-stranded internal bulge. The 6S RNA specifically associates with RNA polymerase holoenzyme containing the sigma70 specificity factor. Lineage: Bacteria; Bacillati; Cyanobacteriota; Cyanophyceae; Geitlerinematales; Geitlerinemataceae. The record is from Rfam by way of RNAcentral.
GCUUCACUGCGGCGUUGGUGACUGCCAAUAGCGUUUUAUGAUCUAUGCUUUUUGAAUUAGGGAGUCAAGCCAGUUUCGGCGGCAGUAGACCGGGCAUGUACCCGGAAACUUCUAAGCCUGAAGCCAAGACACCCACCUGGCAUUAGCCAGGUCAAAAACUGAGGUAAGACGGCGUUGCGGUGAAGCU